AGCGAACGCUGGCGGUAGGCCUAACACAUGCAAGUCGAACGGCAGCACAGUAAGAGCUUGCUCUUACGGGUGGCGAGUGGCGGACGGGUGAGGAAUACAUCGGAAUCUACUUUUUCGUGGGGGAUAACGUAGGGAAACUUACGCUAAUACCGCAUACGACCUACGGGUGAAAGCAGGGGAUCUUCGGACCUUGCGCGAUUGAAUGAGCCGAUGUCGGAUUAGCUAGUUGGCGGGGUAAAGGCCCACCAAGGCGACGAUCCGUAGCUGGUCUGAGAGGAUGAUCAGCCACACUGGAACUGAGACACGGUCCAGACUCCUACGGGAGGCAGCAGUGGGGAAUAUUGGACAAAGGGCGCAAGCCUGAUCCAGCCAUACCGCGUGGGUGAAGAAGGCCUUCGGGUUGUAAAGCCCUUUUGUUGGGAAAGAAAAGCAGCAGGUUAAAACCCCGCUGUUCUGACGGUACCCAAAGAAUAAGCACCGGCUAACUUCGUG
This 492-nucleotide ribosomal RNA is filed under the name uncultured bacterium. Its description in RNAcentral is "partial 16S ribosomal RNA". It matches the Rfam family "Bacterial small subunit ribosomal RNA", at positions 29 to 507 of the family's 1533-position model. The record is from RNAcentral.